This 71-nucleotide transfer RNA is filed under the name Anaerolineae bacterium. RNAcentral's name for it is "tRNA-Gln". It matches the Rfam family "tRNA". From Rfam's summary of the family: Transfer RNA (tRNA) molecules are approximately 80 nucleotides in length. The record is from RNAcentral. Lineage: Bacteria; Bacillati; Chloroflexota; Anaerolineae.
UCGGGGGUCGUCUAGUGGCAGGACUCUGGCCUUUGAAGCCAAGGACCGAGGUUCGAACCCUCGCCCCCGAG